GUGAACGCACCACUGGUGUUCGGGUUGUCAUGCCAAUGGCAUUGCCCGGUAGCUAAGUGCGGAAAAGAUAAGCGCUGAAAGCAUCUAAGCGCGAAACUUGCCUCAAGAUGAGUCUUCCCUGGGCCUUUAAGGCCCCUGAAGGAACGUUUAAGACUAAGACGUUGAUAGGCUGGGUGUGUAAGUGCAGCGAUGCAUUGAGCUAACCAGUACUAAUGAUCCGUGAGGCUUAACCUU
This 234-nucleotide ribosomal RNA is filed under the name Serratia marcescens. Its description in RNAcentral is "partial 23S ribosomal RNA". It matches the Rfam family "Bacterial large subunit ribosomal RNA", at positions 2697 to 2925 of the family's 2925-position model. Lineage: Bacteria; Pseudomonadati; Pseudomonadota; Gammaproteobacteria; Enterobacterales; Yersiniaceae. The record is from RNAcentral. RNAcentral also lists the same sequence under 1 other name.